CCCCUCUCAGGGUCACGCCUGGGGAAUUUCCAAUACUCUACCAGUCUCGGCUACAGGAGGGAGAGUCAAGCAGAGGCAUACACACUCCAUUCCUAGCUUGGGUAGUGGCUAGUGAGUGGAAGACAAUCUGCUACAAGG
Small nucleolar RNA from Ornithorhynchus anatinus (platypus), 138 nucleotides. NCBI's taxonomy places the organism in Eukaryota, Metazoa, Chordata, Mammalia, Monotremata, Ornithorhynchidae. The record is from RefSeq and is a predicted model, not a curated record.